This is a non-coding RNA of Lolium perenne, 1964 nucleotides long. The record is from RefSeq and is a predicted model, not a curated record. Lineage: Eukaryota; Viridiplantae; Streptophyta; Magnoliopsida; Poales; Poaceae.
AUACAGUAACGACCGGGCGACGGCGAGUUUGCCUCGAAGGAGCUGGACGCACGGAACAAAUCUGAAAGGAUUUACCUGGACGGCUGGACAGAAAAGACGAUUUGGAGGGCAGGAGUAGGCCACAGCACUCCAGAAGCAAUUCGAUUCCUCUCCGUGUUCUUGAUUCCGGCGACUCACCCGGCGGUUGGGCGUGCAGUGCAGGCGACUGGGCGAACGGUGGCGGGACCUUUGACCUGCAACAGCUAGCGGCAACUCCCCCAACGACGGCUAUGGGCUUUCGGUACUCUGAUUCGAAACUGAGGAUGUCAAAUUUGUCCCGGAUUGCGAGCGGGAUGAUUUCUGUUUGUCAUUGUAUUGUGGCAAAUCUAUAAGGGCACCUACGAUGCUUCCGCAAGCAGUGAUGCAGCGGCGGAAGAUGGUGCGUGCAGCCAUCUCGGGUCGUUGGAACCUGAUGCAUCCGUGCAGUAGCUGCUGCCCGCGACGGAGAUGGUGAAGGCAGGCUGAUUGACUCAGCGCAGUGCAAUGUGAAUAAGACUGAAGCAAGAGGUAUGGUGCGCGUGCUCUUUUAAAAAAUAUCUGUUUUUGCACGAGCGGACUAGGUCUUACGAGCAGAUGGAAGGGCUCCAGGAAAGACAACAUCCGUUGCUUGUAGGCUUUGUUAGGCAGGCAAGAUGUCAGAUCAUGUAUAAUUGAGGGUUUUAUCUAGACAGCGGGGCAUGCACGAAACAUAUGAGUGGGUGGAUAAUCCAGAGGGGCAUUGUGUUCCGCAGGGAUGCCAGAGGUUAGGAGAGCUGAUUGAUGAGGAGGUUCCGAAGUUGGAGCAAGGAAACAGGACCCCGUGAUCCAAGCGAUCUCGGAGAUGAAUGUGCCUCUUGGUGAGGCCAGUCUGAAUGAGGAACACAAAGCAACUAUCCUAGAUGAUAUUAUGGAAGGUGUGGGGGCACAGAAAAAAGAACUGCUGCAGAAACUGUUGGCGUGUUUAUACCCAUCUAGAGCUGAUGGUGAUACACGAGAUGUUCAUGCCGGAUCGGGAUCAUCAGGGCAGAGAGGGCCAACGAAUGCUGCAGGUAGCAGCAGGGCUGCUGCAAGGCCAGGAUGUUCGGCUAAUUUGCAGUCAGACAAAAGGAAGCAGCCCAUGGAGGAGGCAGAAGAAGAUGUUUGCAUGCGUGGUGAACAUGACGCAGAUGAAGUGAUCCUAGGAUAAGAUGAUUAGUUGAUUACAGCUUCAUUCUACCAGGAUGUUCAAAUAACCAUCAAGCGCUGGUGGCGAUGGCUGCCAAUGCAAACGUAGGGGUUCCAGCUAUGAUCGUCGAUGUUGUCGUGGCCACCGCCGUAGCCAUGGCUCGGGUAGCCCACAUCACCCCGCUCUGCGCCGUGGGUCAAACCCCGAAGUGCCGAUGGAUCUCGUAGAUUGGGAGGGAGGAGAAAUCGGCAGCGAUGGAUCUCGUCGUUCCACGUGAGGGCACCCACCGCGAGUUGAGCAGCCAACCUCCGGGCAGGUUGAUGUUCGUCCAUGCCACUGGGAGCUCUUCCUCGUACAACUUGCGAUCAUAGCCAAUAGGGACGGAACGUUGGUCCCUCUCCUUCCGGCGGCUUCCGCGCAACGAGCCCGUCUCGUGGUCGUUUUUCGUCCUCCAAAAUGGCUAGGACAUGCCCAUGGCGGCGCUUGGUCUAUAGUCCGUGGAGGUGAACAUGGGGAAGGUGGCAAUGGCAUGGAUGAAAAUGUGCGCGGUCACUCACCUCAAAAAGCAUGGGUGUACGCCUCCCCUUCAAUGCUUGACGCGGAAGCCCAACGCCGCCUACUAGCAAUAGCGCAUAGAAGCUGAAGUGAGGACCACUAAGGCAGCGUGAAGGACACAUCAACACCGCCCGCCACUACUGUGCGUGGAGAAGGUGAAGUGGGCACGGGGCACCAAUAAAGCUACACUUACGUAAAGCUUCUUCCGAUUUUUUUAUACAGGAUG